GUCUCGUUACCCUAUAAACAAUAAUAUAAUUGAAUGUAAUACAAAUCAGAAAAUCAAUCAUUUAUUAGAUAUCUUUAAUUUUCUGAAGUUCAUUUGUGCUUAUAUAAAUACAAUCAAUCCUUACACUCAAGUGUGUGAUUUGGCACAGUGGAUAGCAAAUCAGACUUUGAAUGAAAAGGCGCUGGGAUCGAUCCUUCGAGUCGGCGUUAAUUUUUUUUUUUUUUUUUUUCGCUAUAAAAUUAAUGGACACACCAUGGAACGAUGAACUCACUGUGGAAAUACGGUGAAUUCACGGUUAAAAAACUGUCAAGCCAUCGGAAAGCCAUUGUAAACUCACCGUGGAUAUCGCUGAAAACCACUGUGGAGCGCACCGUGGUUUUACGGUGGUUUCACCGUAAAACCACCGUGAGAUUACUGUGACCUUACGAUCGAAAUACCGUGGAAACACUCUUUAAGUGCAAUGGAAACGGGGUCGGGAUACAGUAGCGUGACUGCACAAAAAAUACCGUGAUUUCACUGCAUUACAACCACGUUUUCACAGUCGUUCCACGGUGUUUUAACGGUGUUUUUACUGUAAGGUCACCGUGGCGCUAAAAUCGCCAGGGUAGCAGCAAGUAAUCGAAGAACAAUUUAACUUCGAUGACGUGAGAAUAGAAAACCAGGAACAAUUACAUCACAAGAAUCAAGAAAAUGAACAAAUCAAUAACAUUUUACCGCAAUAUAGAUUACCAGUGAAACGGAAAUUAAAAUAUCCUGAUGAAAAUGAGACGUUAAAGCGUCAAAAAUAUUCUGAGCAUGAUAUUGAUAUUAACCGUCAAAUAAAUUUUGAUAAUGAUACUGAAGUUAUGGCCAUCAUUAUUGAACUGAACAAGUUGUUCCCAAUUGGUUGGAGCUUUUUAAUUGGUUACAUUUUUAGAAAAUUAUAAAAAAGAAAUUGAUGGACAAAUAAAAUCAGUCAAUGAUUUAAUUGAAUGGUUAAGAUCUAUGGAACAAAAAAAAAUAUGCAAUGGAACUAGAUUUGAUAAAAAAAGGUAUUUUAUGCAAUUAAAUCGUUUUCAUAAUUACUUUAUAAAGUACAAGGGUACUGAAAUAUUUAAAAUGUUAAUAUGUACUAAAUAAAUAAUUGGUUAAUUGUUUUAAACUAUAUUAAAAUGUCAUGCUGACGUGACUAACAAAUACAAACGUUGCCAAGCUUGUCUGAGAUGUCAAGAAUGUCAAAAACUACGUUUAAAUUUACAAAAAGUAGAAAAAGGUCGAAUGCUUAAUACUAAGAACAAAAUGAAAAGAAAAACUUCUAAAGCUACCAAUUUGGGAUUCUAUAAAAAAACAAAACGUAUUCAACAACAGCUAACAUAUCUACAUUAAAAUUACGUAGUAUUCAAAGAAAAACAAAAACUGUGUAUGAAAGCCAAUCUAAUAAAAAACUUUCUUUGCUACCAAAACAACAACAGAUAACAGUGAGAAUGUGUUUUGAAAACUCCCAAAAAAGGGUCCAACUGGCAGAAGAUAUGAAGUUGAAUGGAUUUAUGAAUGUCUUCUCAUACGAAUGAAAAGCACUUGUACGUACAAUAUGAUACGAGCAAGAAAUAUAAUUCCUCUACCAACUAUUGACACGUUAUCGAAAUAUAUAAAAAAUUAGUUCGUCGAUUUUUGGAUUUUUACCCGAAACGUUUGAAAUCCUACGGAAAAAAGGAGAAUCAAUGGCACCUGAAGAUAAAAUUGGCCAAAUAUCAGCUGAUGAGGUUAAACUUAUGGAAAAUAUUGAGUUUGAUAAAAAAAUAGCUGAGUAUACUGGUUUUGUUGAUCUUGGAAAGUAUACAUCUGAAUCUGAUAGCGACGUUCCUGAAGAUCACGCUCUUGUUUUUAUGUUUGUACCGUAUCGGGGAAAUUCUGCUCAACCUUUAGGAUGCUUUAUUACUAAAAAUUGUAUAACUACUAAAGUUCUUCAUAAGUUAUUUUUAGAAUGUAUUAUACUUGUAGAAUAUGCUGGUUUUCGUGUGAAUUUUCUAGUAACUGACGCUGCUCAAUUUAAUAGAGGAGUUUGGACGAAAUUAGUUGACACAAAUAACAUCAGUUGUGAACAUCUAUGUGAAUCUAGCCGUAGAUUAUAUAUGAUAUCAGACUUCCCACAUUUAGUAAAAUGUUUUCGAAAUGGAUUGGUUGAGUUAGAUGAAUUUGAGAUCCUAAACUCUAUCAAAAAAUGUCUGUUCCAAUGGCUUAUCAGGUAUAAUGAUAAUUUUUUAAUGGCUUUGGAUCAUAAUGAAUAAAUUGUAAUAUUAACAGUUGUACUCACGCGAAGUUCGUUGUGCAAUGACGAUUUUACGAGAAAAUGGAAAUGAAAAAUUCGAAGGCUCAGAACCAACCGAGAAAUUUAUCAAAAUCAUUGAUGAUGGCAUCCAAGCUAUGACUUCGCACGAUGCUAAGAACGCACUAUACUUUAAGGAUACUUGUGAACAAAAGAAGGUUACGAAAUAUCUGUAUCAUUUCUUCCUUGAAAAAAAAAUUAAAUAUAUAUUUAUAUAAUCACUAACUUGCUUCAUUACAUCUUUGGGGUUUAAAAUAUCGAUUUUUUUAAUCGAAAAAAAUAUAAAAUAAAAGUUUUUAAAAAAUUCUGGAGCCAAUGAUUAAAUCUUUUAAGAUACUUACUACACUCAUAAUACACAGAAAGAUAAAAAUUCUUCAUUGAAGUACUUAUUUUCUUGACUUAAGAAAAUAUUUAGGAAAACGAAAAUUAUAUUGGUUGAAUUAAAAUUUUCUUGAGUCUUCGCAAAAUAUUUUCUUGCUCCAAAACAACCUAGGAUUUCCUUAAAAGUUUCUUGUUUCAAAAUGAUUACACAGCUGACAAUGGAUUCAAUCGUAUGCUGUCUUCGGUCAAUACUGUAUCACGGAGCCAUCGACAUCAUCACAGAUUGAUUGAAUCAAUAAAGAAUAUUAUUCCUAUUUUCAGUGGAUUCACAAAUUUUUAUUAAUGGAUAAGGAGUUGAAAAAAUUAAAUUGGAUGAGAGUAAUGAUAAUAAAAAAAUCACCCAUAAUCGAUGCUGGCAGGAGAUGAUAAAUUAAAAACAACAUUAACAAAUAAUUUGAAAUAUUAUCGCAACACUAACUUCUAAACGCUUUGUGAAACUUCUAUACAUACUAUUGUUUAUUAAUGCUUUCAAUUGUUACUUCUAUUGAAAACUUUCUAAAAUUUUUUUAUCUAUGUAAUCUUCCCAUAAAUAAUUCUUUUCCUUUUUCCUAAAACACAGGCCAUUUUAACUUUAUUGAAGUUUUUAGAAGAUUGGGACAAAAUGUUCACUAACACAAAAACUCCUAAAGUGUCUACCCCGAAGAACUCAAUUUCAGAAAAUUCAGUUUUGAAGGAAGUGACUCCAAAUAACUUGUAACCGGGCAGCAAUAAUCUAAGACGUGAGAGUGUGGCUCUCUCGCUUCAUCUAUUUUCUUUCUCUCUCUCUCUCUCUCUUCUUGCUUUAAAAGAUAAGUGCAGUAGUCUAAUCUCUGCGUUAGAAUUUGGGGGAUGAUUCCGCGCAGCAUGGGACCGCAAAUUAGUCCCUGCGCAUAAUUAGGUGGGGUCAACGCAGGUUGGUGGCCCAGAGAACUGACCCAAGACGAUGGAAUCAAAAGACGAUACUUAAGUUCGAGAGCUGUAGCUGAUCGGUCGUAUCCACUCUACUCUCUCUAAAUCGACUACUAUAUAUAUUUCUUUUCGAGCAUUGUAGUAUAUAAAAUAUAGCGAGUUUAAGUUAACUUGUGGUUAAUUAUAAAUUACAUAAGUGUGUUCGUGAUCCUAUGGGAUAUCUCAUCACCGAAGGGUCAAUUACGUCCGUCACCGUUGUCAAGGACUUGCUGUGGGAUAGCCAGGAGGAUGCAAAGACGAUCAGUACCAUCUGUAAGUCGUAAUGCCUUUUUGGUCGCCAUAUAUAUUUUAUAUUGUUAUACGUGCAUAUUUGCUUUCUCUUCAACGCGGUUAAUUACCUUAUUAUCUUAUUCCCGCUCAAAUAAAUUUAAGAAACACACGCGUCUCGAGUUGAUGAAUUUCCUUGGACCACUUGUAAAUACAUAUAAAAUUAUUAUAGUUUAAGUA
This is an RNA transcript of Microplitis mediator, 4081 nucleotides long. RefSeq lists it as uncharacterized. The record is from RefSeq and is a predicted model, not a curated record. The transcript has 7 exons. Lineage: Eukaryota; Metazoa; Arthropoda; Insecta; Hymenoptera; Braconidae.